GAUGAACGCUGGCGGCGUGCCUAAUACAUGCAAGUCGAGCGAACGGACGAGAAGCUUGCUUCUCGGAUGUUAGCGGCGGACGGGUGAGUAACACGUGGAUAACCUACCUAUAAGACUGGGAUAACUUCGGGAAACCGGAGCUAAUACCGGAUAAUAUUUUGAACCGCAUGGUUCAAAAGUGAAAGACGGUCUUGCUGUCACUUAUAGAUGGAUCCGCGCUGCAUUAGCUAGUUGGUAAGGUAACGGCUUACCAAGGCAACGAUGCAUAGCCGACCUGAGAGGGUGAUCGGCCACACUGGAACUGAGACACGGCCCAGACUCCUACGGGAGGCAGCAGUAGGGAAUCUUCCGCAAUGGGCGAAAGCCUGACGGAGCAACGCCGCGUGAGUGAUGAAGGUCUUCGGAUCGUAAAACUCUGUUAUUAGGGAAGAACAUAUGUGUAAGUAACUGUGCACAUCUUGACGGUACCUAAUCAGAAAGCCCCGGCUAACUACGUG
Molecule: ribosomal RNA, 497 nt
Filed under: uncultured bacterium
Lineage: Bacteria
Description: partial 16S ribosomal RNA
Rfam family: Bacterial small subunit ribosomal RNA
Source: RNAcentral